Transfer RNA from Ovis aries (sheep), 72 nucleotides. It matches the Rfam family "tRNA". Rfam says of the family: Transfer RNA (tRNA) molecules are approximately 80 nucleotides in length. The record is from Rfam. NCBI's taxonomy places the organism in Eukaryota, Metazoa, Chordata, Mammalia, Artiodactyla, Bovidae.
UCCCUCAUAGCUCAGUCAGUGAAGAGUCUGCCUGCAAUGCAGGAGACCCAGGUUUGAUUCCUGGGUCGGGAA